CAGAAGAAUCAACAGCUCCAACAGGAAGCACCACCACAACUGGAUUGGCUGCCAGUUCCACAGCGGAAGAAACGACGACACCUUUGCCACCAACUACAACAGGCUCCACCAGUAUUUUGACAAGUGGACAAACAACAACAACAAGAACAACAGAGAUAACCACCACAGCCAGUUCAACUGCCAGUUCCACAACUGAGGUGGUCUGUCUUGGUGAAUGGUCUUCCUGGUCCAAUAUACAUACACCAUCCUAUUACGAUCCAAAUGAUGUUGAGCCCAUACGCAAGAGGUUGUGUGCUCCCACUGAUUCUAUUGGUGACGUUCAGUGUCAAUUUGUACAACACCCUUCGAAGCCACUAAGUGAAUCACAAGACAAUGUGGAAUGCAUUAAAGGAGUAGGAUUGGUGUGUAUUCACUCCAGCAGUUCAUCAGAAACAUUCUGUUCUGACUACCAAAUUCGAGUUUGCUGCGAAAACCAACCGUCAACAACUGUUCCGACGACAACCAGCCUAUUCACAACCUCCACUGAAACAAGUACACCUGAAGUGACCACAACAACAGGGACAAGCACCACACCCUCAACGACCGCC
This is a long non-coding RNA of Stegostoma tigrinum, 587 nucleotides long. RefSeq lists it as uncharacterized. The record is from RefSeq and is a predicted model, not a curated record. The transcript is spliced from 5 exons. NCBI's taxonomy places the organism in Eukaryota, Metazoa, Chordata, Chondrichthyes, Orectolobiformes, Stegostomatidae.